Molecule: ribosomal RNA, 433 nt
Filed under: uncultured bacterium
Lineage: Bacteria
Description: partial 16S ribosomal RNA
Rfam family: Bacterial small subunit ribosomal RNA
Source: RNAcentral
AACGAACGCUGGCGGCAUGCCUAACACAUGCAAGUCGAACGAGAACGUCGGGCUUAGGGGGGGAGGGGGGGGUAAGACCGGGGAAGUUGCCCGUAAGUUCGGAAUAACUGCCUGAAAGGUAUCCUAAUAAAGGAGAAUCUCAUCGGACCAAGGAUUUAUCGCCGUUGGAUGGGGCCGGGUUGGAUUAGGUGGUUGGUAGGGUAAAAGCCUAGCAAGGGGACGAUCCAUAGCUGGUCUGUGAGGAGGACCAGCCACACUGGGACUGAGACACGGCCCAGACUCCUACGGGGGGCAGCAGUGGGGAGUAUUAGACGAGGGGCGAUGGCGUGAUCCAGCCGCGCCGCGUAAGUGAUGAAGGCCUUAGGAUUGUAAAGCUCUCUGUCCCGGGAUGAUAAUGACAGUACCGGGAGAAUAAGCACCGGCUAACUCCGUG